UAGGCAGUAAGCGCGGAAUACCCGGAUGUACUGUACAGACACCCCUCCCCCGCCCCCCCCCUCCUCCUCCCCGGCAGUGAGCGCUGAGCUGAAGCCGCUCCUCCUGUUUCCGUGCUGCGGCGCUGCCCGAGACUUUACCGCAGUGAGAUCCGUCAUCCGUCCAUAACACGAACGCUCCGAGGGGGGCUGACUCUCACACCGACAGGCUUUGGUUGUUGACCCUGCUGGGGAAAAAAAACAACAACAACAAAACACAAGCCGAAACGAAAAACAACCCGGAUUCGGGGAAAUAAUAACAAUAAUACUAAUUUUAAGGAAAAUAAAUAAAUAACCGAAGACCAACCGCGCGACAAAAUGCGUCACGUUAACGAGAAAUCCAGCGCAGGAGUCUUCCCAGAAUGCAGUGCGGUUACACGAUGCCGAGUUACGGCCGGAGGCUAGGUAGAGAUGUACAGGUGAGGAGAGAGCAGGACAGGCUAAAGCGCUAAAGCGCCGCUGCAUCGCUUUCAGGAAGCGAGGGAUAAAUCUCAUCACUACGACGCUGCUGUCCGCAGGUAGAUGAAAUGCAUCGUGGGUAACGUAGAUCGAUAUCGUUCGGACAGGGCGUGGUUCGAGGGGCUUGGGCUCACCACUGUGCUGAGAUUUCUGUUUAUUUAUUUAUUAUUUGAUAAUCAUUCCUCUGACAGACGCAGUUCGGCUCGAGGGAUGAUGAGUUGAGUCGGGAGUUUGGAACGUUUCAGGAUGUGUACGCUAGUGUUGAGAUCCUCCACAACGCAGCUAUUCGUCAUCAUAGAGCUCUAAUAGUUACUAAUAACUCACGCAGCGCUGGUUUCUCGCCUGCUCGCAGCCCUGAUGUUUAUAACCCUGUGAUAGAACUCUAGCGAUCAGUAUCACAAUCAUCACCAGGGCAACAGUUAGUGGGAUUGGUUUAUAACCAGUUUAUAACUUCUUCAGCAUUUUAACUCUAAAAUAAAUUCCACAUUCACCCUUUUAUAUACUAAUGUUAGGCUCAUUACUUAAAUAUGUGCAAUAAUAAUCUGUGUAUCUCUCUAUCAUCUAUCUAUCUAUCUUCCUAUCUCUCUACCUACUGUAUCUAUCGAUAAAUUUGUCUGUCUAUCUUUUUCUAUCUAUUGAACUAUCCAUUGGUCACUCUGUCUGUCGAUCUAUCUGUCUGUCUGUCUGUAUAUCUAUCUAUCUAUCCAUUGAUGUAUCUGUCUAUCGAUCUAUCCAUUGGUAUAUCUGUCUCUUUCUUUAUUUCCUUUUUUCUUUCUAUCUUUCUGUCUGUCUGUCUAUGUAUCUGUUGAACUACCUAUUAAUCGAUCACUCUAUCUUGUCUGUCUAUCGAUCUAUCUGUAUAUCUAUCUCUCCAUCCAUUGAUGUAUCUGUCUCUUUAUUUCCGUCUUCCUUUCUAUCAAACUAUCCGUCUAUCUAUCUUUCUAUCGAGCUCUCCACUGAUCAGUCGAUCUAUCGCCGUCUAUUGAUCUGUCUGUAUUUCUAUCUAUCUGUCCAUUGAUGACUCUGUCUGUCUUUCUUUAUUUCCUUCUUUCUUUCUAUCAAACUAUCUGUCUGUCUGUCUUUCCAUCUAUCAGUCUGUUGAUCUGUCUGUCUAUCUGUCUUUCUUUCUUUCUAUCCAUUAAGCAAGCUAUCUAUCUGACUAUCUGUCUGUCUGUCUAUUUAUUUAUUUAUUAUUAAUAUAAGCUUUAAAGCCAGACCAUUUUUAUUUUCGCCAUUUUAAAAUGACUCCCUAUAUGCUAUCCAUCCAUAAGC
Molecule: long non-coding RNA, 1767 nt
Organism: Ictalurus punctatus (channel catfish)
Lineage: Eukaryota; Metazoa; Chordata; Actinopteri; Siluriformes; Ictaluridae
Source: Ensembl